UGCCAGCAGCCGCGGUAAUACGAAGGGGGCUAGCGUUGUUCGGAAUUACUGGGCGUAAAGCGCGUGUAGGUUGGUAUACAAGUCAGUGGUGAAAGCCCAGAGCUCAACUCUGGAAUUGCCAUUGAAACUGUAUGCCUAGAGACUCGGAGGGGAUAGCGGAAUUCCUAAUGUAGGGGUGAAAUCCGUAGAUAUUAGGAGGAACACCGGUGGCGAAGGCGGCUAUCUGGACGAGUACUGACACUGAGACGCGAAAGCGUGGGUAGCAAACAGGAUUAGAUA
RNAcentral lists this ribosomal RNA (279 nucleotides) under uncultured bacterium. RNAcentral describes it as "partial 16S ribosomal RNA". It matches the Rfam family "Bacterial small subunit ribosomal RNA", at positions 506 to 784 of the family's 1533-position model. The record is from RNAcentral.